RNAcentral lists this transfer RNA (70 nucleotides) under Podarcis lilfordi (Lilford's wall lizard). RNAcentral describes it as "tRNA.Ile". The record is from RNAcentral. Lineage: Eukaryota; Metazoa; Chordata; Lepidosauria; Squamata; Lacertidae.
GGAUAGUUCAGUUGGUUGGAGCAUGGCGCUGAUAAUGCCACGGUUGCGGGUUCGAUGCUCGUAUGGGACA